AUUGAACGCUGGCGGCAUGCCUUACACAUGCAAGUCGAACGGCAGCACGGAUGCUUGCACCUGGUGGCGAGUGGCGAACGGGUGAGUAAUACAUCGGAACGUACCUUAUCGUGGGGGAUAACGCAGCGAAAGCUGUGCUAAUACCGCAUACGCCCUGAGGGGGAAAGCGGGGGAUCGAAAGACCUCGCGCGAUUAGAGCGGCCGAUGCCUGAUUAGCUUGUUGGUGGGGUAAAAGCCCACCAAGGCGACGAUCAGUAGCUGGUCUGAGAGGACUAUCAGCCACACUGGGACUGAGACACGGCCGAGACUCCUACGGGAGGCAGCAGUGGGGAAUUUUGGACAAUGGGGGCAACCCUGAUCCAGCAAUGCCGCGUGAGUGAAGAAGGCCUUCGGGUUGUAAAGCUCUUUUGUCAGGGAAGAAACACCGGCUCUAACACAGUCCGGGAAUGACGGUACCUGAAGAAUAAGCACCGGCUAACUACGUGCCAGCCGCCGCCGUAA
RNAcentral lists this ribosomal RNA (501 nucleotides) under uncultured bacterium. RNAcentral describes it as "partial 16S ribosomal RNA". It matches the Rfam family "Bacterial small subunit ribosomal RNA", at positions 30 to 523 of the family's 1533-position model. The record is from RNAcentral.